RNAcentral lists this ribosomal RNA (253 nucleotides) under uncultured Bacteroidota bacterium. Its description in RNAcentral is "uncultured Bacteroidetes bacterium partial 16S ribosomal RNA". It matches the Rfam family "Bacterial small subunit ribosomal RNA", at positions 524 to 776 of the family's 1533-position model. Lineage: Bacteria; Pseudomonadati; Bacteroidota. The record is from RNAcentral.
UACGGAGGGUGCAAGCGUUAUCCGGAUUUAUUGGGUUUAAAGGGUGCGUAGGCGGCUCUUUAAGUCAGUGGUGAAAGCCUAGUGCUUAACACUAGAAUUGCCAUUGAAACUGAGGAGCUUGAGUCAAGGAGAGGUAAGCAGAAUUUAUGGUGUAGCAGUGAAAUGCUUAGAUACCAUAAGGAAUACCAAUAGCGAAGGCAGCUUACUGGCCUUGUACUGACGCUGAGGCACGAAAGCGUGGGGAGCAAACAGG